Molecule: ribosomal RNA, 617 nt
Filed under: uncultured bacterium
Lineage: Bacteria
Description: bacterial SSU rRNA
Rfam family: Bacterial small subunit ribosomal RNA
Source: RNAcentral
CUGCGGCGGAUUAGCUAGUUGGUGGGGUAACGGCCUACCAAGGCGAUGAUCCGUAGGGGGCGUGAGAGCGUGGCCCCCCACACGGGAACUGAGACACGGUCCCGACGCCUACGGGCGGCAGCAGUGAGGAAUCUUGCCCAAUGGGGGAAACCCUGAGGCAGCGACACCGCGUGCGGGAUGAAGGCCUUCGGGUCGUAAACCGCUUUUCUGGGGGACGAGUAAGGACGGUACUCCAGGAAUAAGUCCCGGCUAACUACGUGCCAGCAGCCGCGGUAAAACGUAGGGGGCGAGCGUUAUCCGGAAUCACUGGGCGUAAAGGGCGUCUAGGCGGCAGCCUAAGUCCCGUGUGAAAGCUCCCGGCUCAACUGGGAGAGGGCAUGGGAGACUGGGCAGCUAGAGACUCGGAGGGGGGUGUGGAAUUCCCGGUGGAGUGGUGGAAUGCGUUGAGAUCGGGAGGAACACCAGUAGCGAAGGCGGCACCCUGGCCGAGAUCUGACGCUGAAGCGCGAGAGCGUGGGGAGCGAACGGGAUUAGAUACCCCGGUAGUCCACGCCGUAAACGAUGACAACUAGGUGUUGGGUGUCCAAGGAUGCUCAGUACCGCAGCAAACGCGAUAA